This 79-nucleotide ribosomal RNA is filed under the name Myriocarpa cordifolia. Its description in RNAcentral is "partial 28S ribosomal RNA". The record is from RNAcentral. Lineage: Eukaryota; Viridiplantae; Streptophyta; Magnoliopsida; Rosales; Urticaceae.
ACUUGGACGAUGCUCUCAACGCGACCCCAGGUCAGGCGGGGCUACCCGCUGAGUUUAAGCAUAUCAAUAAGCGGGAGGA